RNAcentral lists this ribosomal RNA (499 nucleotides) under uncultured Glomeromycotina. Its description in RNAcentral is "partial small subunit ribosomal RNA". It matches the Rfam family "Eukaryotic small subunit ribosomal RNA", at positions 591 to 1092 of the family's 1831-position model. The record is from RNAcentral. Lineage: Eukaryota; Fungi; Glomeromycota.
CCAAUAGCGUAUAUUAAAGUUGUUGCAGUUAAAAAGCUCGUAGUUGAAUUUCGGGACCAAUUUGUCGGUCGUGCCUCGGUACGUACUGGUAUUAUUGGUUUCUCCCUUCUGAAGAACCUUGAUGUCAUUAAUUUGGUGUCUUGGGGAAUCAGGACUGUUACUUUGAAAAAAUUAGAGUGUUUAAAGCAGGCUCGCGCUUGAAUACAUUAGCAUGGAAUAAUGAAAUAGGACGUUUGAUUCUAUUUUGUUGGUUUCUAGGAUUGACGUAAUGAUUAAUAGGGAUAGUUGGGGGCAUUAGUAUUCAAUUGUCAGAGGUGAAAUUCUUGGAUUUAUUGAAGACUAACUACUGCGAAAGCAUUUGCCAAGGAUGUUUUCAUUAAUCAAGAACGAAAGUUAGGGGAUCGAAGACGAUCAGAUACCGUCGUAGUCUUAACCAUAAACUAUGCCGACUAGGGAUCGGAUGAUGUUAAUUUUUUAAUGACUCAUUCGGCGCCUUACG